This 210-nucleotide long non-coding RNA is filed under the name Elaeis guineensis (African oil palm). RNAcentral's name for it is "long non-coding RNA (EGUI_LNC039963)". The record is from RNAcentral. Lineage: Eukaryota; Viridiplantae; Streptophyta; Magnoliopsida; Arecales; Arecaceae.
GUCCGUUCCACUACUCUUCGCAGCAAACUCCGUCUGACCCUGGGCAGCCCACUGCCAGACGGUUACAAACGUCGCCAUCAAUCCGUUGCCUCCUCCGCCUAUAAAAGGGGGACCCAGAUAUGUUAUUCUAUAAGCUCAUUUCUUAUCUCAAAACUCUGCUAAAUUCUCCGUUCGAGCACUCCAUUCUUGUUGAGGCAGAGAACUGACUUG